Puma concolor (puma) is the source of this 540-nucleotide long non-coding RNA. RefSeq lists it as uncharacterized. The record is from RefSeq and is a predicted model, not a curated record. NCBI's taxonomy places the organism in Eukaryota, Metazoa, Chordata, Mammalia, Carnivora, Felidae.
GUCUACCCUUCUCCGCCUGGGCCCGCCGCCCAGCUCGCGUCCCCCUGGCGCGGGGGUCAAGAGCCCAAUGCCGCUGGCGUGCGAGAAGGCGCCGAACCGCCGGAGCUGGCAGGGAGCAGGGGGUGUUCACGGCUCUGCCCAAAGGCCUGGUCGGUCCGCCAGCCUCAGUUUCCCCAUCUGCGCCGGGAGGAGCAGGAAUGAGCUAAAGGUCCCCAUGCUGAGAUUCCAGGAGUGGGCCACAAAGAAACAAUCAUGGUAAUAGAACGGAGACGGGCUGGCCCGGGAAGUGCUGCGGUUUCUGGUCUCCUGGAAUCCUCGCUCAAAGUGGAGGUGCCCCUGGCAUUACAAGGCCGUGGUGACAACCCCUCUUGGCUUUGCCACUUGCAGGAAAGCUAUCUGUGUUGACGUCCUGUGACACCAUGGCCCUGUCUGUAUUCCCUCCUCCUAUCCCCUGCCUCUGAGGAGGAAUCCCGAGAUGACGAGAUAAGUAUGUUCAGAAUGAUUGAAAAUGUAAAAUAAGUAAUAAAAAAAAAAGCUAAC